RNAcentral lists this ribosomal RNA (292 nucleotides) under uncultured bacterium. RNAcentral describes it as "partial 16S ribosomal RNA". It matches the Rfam family "Bacterial small subunit ribosomal RNA", at positions 505 to 796 of the family's 1533-position model. The record is from RNAcentral.
GUGCCAGCAGCCGCGGUAAUACGUAGGGGGCAAGCGUUGUCCGGAUUUACUGGGCGUAAAGAGCGUGUAGGCGGCCAAACAGGUCCGUUGUGAAAACUGGAGGCUCAACUUCCAGACGUCGACGGAAACCGUGUGGCUAGAGUCCGGAAGAGGAGAGUGGAAUUCCUGGUGUAGCGGUGAAAUGCGCAGAUAUCAGGAAGAACACCAAUGGCGAAGGCAGCUCUCUGGGACGGUACUGACGCUGAGACGCGAAAGCGUGGGGAGCGAACAGGAUUAGAUACCCUGGUAGUCC